AACGAACGCUGGCGGCAUGCCUAACACAUGCAAGUCGAACGAGACCUUCGGGUCUAGUGGCGCACGGGUGCGUAACGCGUGGGAACCUGCCCUUAGGUUCGGAAUAACUCCCCGAAAGGGGUGCUAAUACCGGAUAAUGUCUUCGGACCAAAGAUUGAUCGCCUUUGGAUGGGCCCGCGUUGGAUUAGCUAGUUGGUAGGGUAAAAGCCUACCAAGGCGACGAUCCAUAGCUGGUCUGAGAGGAUGAUCAGCCACACUGGGACUGAGACACGGCCCAGACUCCUACGCGAGGCAGCAGUGGGGAAUAUUGGACAAUGGGCGAAAGCCUGAUCCAGCAAUGCCGCGUGAGUGAUGAAGGCCUUAGGGUUGUAAAGCUCUUUUACCCGGGAUGAUAAUGACAGUACCGGGAGAAUAAGCUCCGGCUAACUCCGUG
This 433-nucleotide ribosomal RNA is filed under the name uncultured bacterium. RNAcentral describes it as "partial 16S ribosomal RNA". It matches the Rfam family "Bacterial small subunit ribosomal RNA", at positions 29 to 507 of the family's 1533-position model. The record is from RNAcentral.